Molecule: transfer RNA, 69 nt
Filed under: Gallirallus australis (weka)
Lineage: Eukaryota; Metazoa; Chordata; Aves; Gruiformes; Rallidae
Also listed under: 2 other names
Description: tRNA-Ala
Rfam family: tRNA
About the family: Transfer RNA (tRNA) molecules are approximately 80 nucleotides in length. Their secondary structure includes four short double-helical elements and three loops (D, anti-codon, and T loops).
Source: RNAcentral
AAGGCCCUAGCUUAAUUAAAGUACCUGAGUUGCAUUUAGGAGAUGCAGGGUAAUGUCCUGCGGGUUUUA